AGUGAACGCUGGCGGCAGGCCUAACACAUGCAAGUCGAGCGGCAGCGCAGCAGUAGCAAUACUGCGGGCGGCGAGCGGCGGACGGGUGAGGAAUACAUCGGAAUCUACCCAGUCGUGGGGGAUAACGUAGGGAAACUUACGCUAAUACCGCAUACGACCUGAGGGCGAAAGCAGGGGACCGCAAGGCCUUGCGCGAUUGGAUGAGCCGAUGUCGGAUUAGCUAGUUGGUGAGGUAAAGGCUCACCAAGGCGACGAUCCGUAGCUGGUCUGAGAGGAUGAUCAGCCACACUGGAACUGAGACACGGUCCAGACUCCUACGGGAGGAAGCAGUGGGGAAUAUUGGACAAUGGGCGCAAGCCUGAUCCAGCCAUGCCGCGUGUGUGAAGGAGGCCUUCGGGUUGUAAAGCACUUUUGUUGGGGAAGAAAACCUGUUGGUUAAUACCCGGCGGGAAUGACGGUACCCAAAGGAUAAGCACCGGCUAACUUCGUGCCAGCCGCCGCAGUAA
This 506-nucleotide ribosomal RNA is filed under the name uncultured bacterium. RNAcentral describes it as "partial 16S ribosomal RNA". It matches the Rfam family "Bacterial small subunit ribosomal RNA", at positions 29 to 523 of the family's 1533-position model. The record is from RNAcentral.